RNAcentral lists this small RNA (3582 nucleotides) under Pan troglodytes (chimpanzee). RNAcentral's name for it is "processed transcript". Lineage: Eukaryota; Metazoa; Chordata; Mammalia; Primates; Hominidae. The record is from RNAcentral.
CUUAAAGCGGGCGCAGCAUUAACGCUUCCCGCCCCGGUGACCUCUCAGGGGUCUCCCCGCCAAAGGUGCUCCGCCGCUAAGGAACAUGGCGAAGGUGGAGCAGGUCCUGAGCCUCGAGCCGCAGCACGAGCUCAAAUUCCGAGAUGAACAUGUUGAACCAACAAAUGAACCUCCUCAGGACUUCUGAUGGGAUUGGGCCCAUUUUCCUUUCACUGUGUCCCUCAUGCUGUCUCCUGGAUGCGGCGCAAGGAGGCUGCCAGGGUGCUGGGAUCCUUUUUCUCCGCAGAGCUGUCUGGAGCAAUACCUGCGGCGAUGGGAAGCCAUGACCCUGGUUUCUCCCAGAUACUAUUACCUCUGUCCCUUCACCGAUGUUGUCACCACCAACCUAAAGCUUGGCAACCCGACAGACCGAAAUGUGUGUUUUAAGGUGAAGACUACAGCACCACGUAGGUACUGUGUGAGGCCCAACAGCGGAAUCAUCGAUGCAGGGGCCUCAAUUAAUGUAUCUGUGGAAGGAGGCAAAACCGGAAGACCUUAUGGAUUCAAAACUUAGAUGUGUGUUUGAAUUGCCAGCAGAGAAUGAUAAACCACAUGAUGUAGAAAUAAAUAAAAUUAUAUCCACAACUGCAUCAAAGACAGAAACACCAAUAGUGUCUAAGUCUCUGAGUUCUUCUUUGGAUGACACUGAAGUUAAGAAGGUUAUGGAAGAAUGUAAGAGGCUGCAAGGUGAAGUUCAGAGGCUACGGGAGGAGAACAAGCAGUUCAAGGAAGAAGAUGGACUGCGGAUGAGGAAGACAGUGCAGAGCAACAGCCCCAUUUCAGCAUUAGCCCCAACUGGGAAGGAAGAAGGCCUUAGCACCCGGCUCUUGGCUCUGGUGGUUUUGUUCUUUAUCGUUGGUGUAAUUAUUGGGAAGAUUGCCUUGUAGAGGUAGCAUGCACAGGAUGGUAAAUUGGAUUGGUGGAUCCACCAUAUCAUGGGAUUUAAAUUUAUCAUAACCAUGUGUAAAAAGAAAUUAAUGUAUGAUGACAUCUCACAGGUCUUGCCUUUAAAUUACCCCUCCCUGCACACACAUACACAGAUACACACACACAAAUAUAAUGUAACGAUCUUUUAGAAAGUUAAAAAUGUAUAGUAACUGAUUGAGGGGGAAAAGAAUGAUCUUUAUUAAUGACAAGGGAAACCAUGAGUAAUGCCACAAUGGCAUAUUGUAAAUGUCAUUUUAAACAUUGGUAGGCCUUGGUACAUGAUGCUGGAUUACCUCUCUUAAAAUGACACCCUUCCUUGCCUGUUGGUGCUGGCCCUUGGGGAGCUGGAGCCCAGCAUGGUGGGGAGUGCGGUCAGCUCCACACAGUAGUCCCCACGUGGCCCACUCCCGGCCCAGGCUGCUUUCCGUGUCUUCAGUUCUGUCCAAGCCAUCAGCUCCUUGGGACUGAUGAACAGAGUCAGAAGCCCAAAGGAAUUGCACUGUGGCAGCAUCAGACAUACUCGUCAUAAGUGAGAGGCGUGUGUUGACUGAUUGACCCAGCGCUUUGGAAAUAAAUGGCAGUGCUUUGUUCACUUAAAGGGACCAAGCUAAAUUUGUAUUGGUUCAUGUAGUGAAGUCAAACUGUUAUUCAGAGAUGUUUAAUGCAUAUUUAACUUAUUUAAUGUAUUUCAUCUCAUGUUUUCUUAUUGUCACAAGAGUACAGUUAAUGCUGCGUGCUGCCGAACUCUGUUGGGUGAACUGGUAUUGCUGCUGGAGGGCUGUGGGCUCCUCUGUCUCUGGAGAGUCUGGUCAUGUGGAGGUGGGGUUUAUUGGGAUGUUGGAGAAGAGCUGCCAGGAAGUGUUUUUUCUGGGUCAGUAAAUAACAACUGUCAUAGGGAGGGAAAUUCUCAGUAGUGACAGUCAACUCUAGGUUACCUUUUUUAAUGAAGAGUAGUCAGUCUUCUAGAUUGUUCUUAUACCACCUCUCAACCAUUACUCACACUUCCAGUACCCAGGCCCAAGUCUGAGCCUGACCUCCCCUUGGGGACCUAGCCUGGAGUCAGGACAAAUGGAUCGGGCUGCAGAGGGUUAGAAGCGAGGGCACCAGCAGUUGUGGGUGGGGAGCAAGGGAAGAGAGAAACUCUUCAGCGAAUCCUUCUAGUACUAGUUGAGAGUUUGACUGUGAAUUAAUUUUAUGCCAUAAAAGACCAACCCAGUUCUGUUUGACUAUGUAGCAUCUUGAAAAGAAAAAUUAUAAUAAAGCCCCAAAAUUAAGAAUUCUUUUGUCAUUUUGUCACAUUUGCUCUAUGGGGGGAAUUAUUAUUUUAUCAUUUUUAUUAUUUCGCCAUUGGAAGGUUAACUUUAAAAUGAGCCCUAUCACUGAGAAAUACGUGUUUCAUGAUUUAACUCUGUGUGUGUGUGUGUGUGUGUGUAUUUUUUUUUUGGUUGUCUUCAGCUGACAGUAUGAAAAAUGAAACUGCUGAAAAAGCUGAGCACCUGGUCACCCUUGGCCUUCCAUUGCUUUGGCCUUCAGUAAAAAGCAGCCUCCCUUCUAGGUCAGGGAACCAUGCCAUUGAGACUAGUAACAGGCGUUCUGGGCACAGUCCCACUGUGCACAGGUUUGAGAGGACAAGUUCAUCAGAAGGAAGGCAGUCCUUAGAAGUCACAUACGUUGAGCCACGUUGCUCCUAAGCCUGGCUCUGUCAAGCUGGAUCAGGGGCCUUGAAACUGGAGAAGUGGAAGUCUGUGGUUGGUCUGAGUAAGUAACUUCCUGUCUUCAUGAAAAAAGUUGACUUUGAAUCCCAGGUACUCACAGAAAUGGUGAACAGACUUAGUUGUUACCCAGGCACCCAUGGAUUGUGUUGAGUGUGCAGACAGGGAGGCCACCCCAAUAGGAAUUCGUCUCCAGGAUUUUUCCCAUGUGUCCCCCAGUACUUAUAAAAGGGAGUGAAAAGACCGAGCUGUAAGGCAUGUGCCUUCUGCCACCUGACUUUCCGUGAGGGGACUAAAAUUUACUAAUCGUAGUUGCUGCAGCCAGUUAAGUCCUGUAGCUUCCAGGUCCUCAUGUCUUUGAUAGGAGAGUACUUAGGUGGUCCCCAACAGUGCCUAGGGGUACAGUACAGUCCCAUUACACUAGAGCAGGGCUCUAUUUAUUUUUAAAGGAUAUGGCCGUGUGUUUUGAUAAAACUUUAUUCACAAAAACAGCCGGGUCAUGGGAUUUGGCUUGUGAGUCUGUAACAGUUCUUAAAAGGAAUAUCUGAGAAACUACUCUGUUUUAGACCUUUGAAGGUGAUUUAGAGUUUUGUGUACGUCUAGGAGAAGGUGUUCAGCUUCUCAGAGGAUGUGGACAUUUUGGUUGCAGCUAAAAAUCAGCCUCUGAAGUCUCUCUCCCUUCUAGAGGUUAGGACUUGGUGAACAUGUUUGUGGGCCUUUUGACUGAGUGGCAGAAGGAAACUGCUCAGGAAGAGAAGCAGGUGAGUGAUGGGAAGGUUGAUUAUUUUCUCAGUCAUCCUGGCAGCCAAAAAUGUGCCAGGAAAAGAAAGAAUGUGGAGCACGCGUGGCUCCUGGAGGACUUGGAGAUGCAUGCACAUUUAGGGUGUCUUCCCUAGAAUUACAU